AUUGAAGUGAUGAAUAUUUCCCCAGAUGAUCGAAGCUGAAAUUACUGAGCGCUUUAUAUGUAUCUUCUUUUAGGGGAAGAUCCAAGCCAGAUAUUCUGAUCUGU
This is a small nucleolar RNA of Solanum verrucosum, 104 nucleotides long. RefSeq annotates it as small nucleolar RNA Z103. The record is from RefSeq and is a predicted model, not a curated record. The transcript has a single exon. Lineage: Eukaryota; Viridiplantae; Streptophyta; Magnoliopsida; Solanales; Solanaceae.